This 494-nucleotide ribosomal RNA is filed under the name uncultured bacterium. Its description in RNAcentral is "bacterial SSU rRNA". It matches the Rfam family "Bacterial small subunit ribosomal RNA", at positions 29 to 518 of the family's 1533-position model. The record is from RNAcentral.
AUGAACGCUAGCGACGGGCCUAACACAUGCAAGUCAGGGGCAGCACAAGGAGCAAUCUGAGGUGGCGACCGGCGCACGGGUGAGUAACACGUAUGCAACCUGCCUGUAAGCGGGGAAUAACCCGUUGAAAGACGGACUAAUACCGCAUAAUACUAAAUUACUGCAUGGUAAUUUAUUUAAACAUUUAUGGCUUACAGAUGGGCAUGCGCAUGAUUAGCUAGUUGGAGAGGUAACGGCUCCCCAAGGCAACGAUCAUUAGGGGUUCUGAGAGGAAGGUCCCCCACACUGGUACUGAGACACGGACCAGACUCCUACGGGAGGCAGCAGUGAGGAAUAUUGGUCAAUGGACGAGAGUCUGAACCAGCCAAGUCGCGUGCAGGAAGAAUGUCCUAUUGGAUUGUAAACUGCUUUUGCAGGGGAAUAAAGUGCAUCACGUGUGAUGUUUUGUAUGUACUCUGCGAAUAAGGAUCGGCUAACUCCGUGCCAGCAGCAGC